AGCGUACACGGUGGAUGCCCUGGCAGUCAGAGGCGAUGAAGGACGUGCUAAUCUGCGAAAAGCGUCGGUAAGGUGAUAUGAACCGUUAUAACCGGCGAUGUCCGAAUGGGGAAACCCAGUGCAAUUCGUUGCACUAUCGUUAACUGAAUACAUAGGUUAACGAGGCGAACCGGGGGAACUGAAACAUCUAAGUACCCCGAGGAAAAGAAAUCAACCGAGAUUCCCCCAGUAGCGGCGAGCGAACGGGGAGCAGCCCAGAGUCUGAAUCAGCUUGUGUGUUAGUGGAACGGUCUGGAAAGUCCGACGGUACAGGGUGAUAGUCCCGUACACCAAAAUGCACAGGUUGUGAACUCGAAGAGUAGGGCGGGACACGUGGUAUCCUGUCUGAAUAUGGGGGGACCAUCCUCCAAGGCUAAAUACUCCUGACUGACCGAUAGUGAACCAGUACCGUGAGGGAAAGGCGAAAAGAACCCCGGCGAGGGGAGUGAAAAAGAACCUGAAACCGUGUACGUACAAGCAGUGGGAGCACCUUCGGGUGUGACUGCGUACCUUUUGUAUAAUGGGUCAGCGACUUAUAUUCUGUAGCAAGGUUAACCGUAUAGGGGAGCCGCAGGGAAACCGAGUCUUAACUGGGCGUUAAGUUGCAGGGUAUAGACCCGAAACCCGGUGAUCUAGCCAUGGGCAGGUUGAAGGUUGGGUAACACUAACUGGAGGACCGAACCGACUAAUGUUGAAAAAUUAGCGGAUGACUUGUGGCUGGGGGUGAAAGGCCAAUCAAACCGGGAGAUAGCUGGUUCUCCCCGAAAGCUAUUUAGGUAGCGCCUCGUGAAUUCAUCUUCGGGGGUAGAGCACUGUUUCGGCUAGGGGGUCAUCCCGACUUACCAACCCGAUGCAAACUACGAAUACCGAAGAAUGUUAUCACGGGAGACACACGGCGGGUGCUAACGUCCGUCGUGAAGAGGGAAACAACCCAGACCGCCAGCUAAGGUCCCAAAGUCAUGGUUAAGUGGGAAACGAUGUGGGAAGGCACAGACAGCCAGGAUGUUGGCUUAGAAGCAGCCAUCAUUUAAAGAAAGCGUAAUAGCUCACUGGUCGAGUCGGCCUGCGCGGAAGAUGUAACGGGGCUAAACCAUGCACCGAAGCUGCGGCAGCGACACUAUGUGUUGUUGGGUAGGGGAGCGUUCUGUAAGCCUGCGAAGGUGACCUGUGAGGGUUGCUGGAGGUAUCAGAAGUGCGAAUGCUGACAUAAGUAACGAUAAAGCGGGUGAAAAGCCCGCUCGCCGGAAGACCAAGGGUUCCUGUCCAACGUUAAUCGGGGCAGGGUGAGUCGACCCCUAAGGCGAGGCCGAAAGGCGUAGUCGAUGGGAAACAGGUUAAUAUUCCUGUACUUGGUGUUACUGCGAAGGGGGGACGGAGAAGGCUAUGUUAGCCGGGCGACGGUUGUCCCGGUUUAAGCAUGUAGGCUGAUUGUCCAGGCAAAUCCGGAUAAUCAAGGCUGAGGUGUGAUGACGAGGCACUACGGUGCUGAAGUAACAAAUGCCCUGCUUCCAGGAAAAGCCUCUAAGCAUCAGGUAACAUCAAAUCGUACCCCAAACCGACACAGGUGGUCAGGUAGAGAAUACCAAGGCGCUUGAGAGAACUCGGGUGAAGGAACUAGGCAAAAUGGUGCCGUAACUUCGGGAGAAGGCACGCUGGUGUGUAGGUGAAGUCCCUGCGGAUGGAGCUGAGACCAGUCGAAGAUACCAGCUGGCUGCAACUGUUUAUUAAAAACACAGCACUGUGCAAACACGAAAGUGGACGUAUACGGUGUGACGCCUGCCCGGUGCCGGAAGGUUAAUUGAUGGGGUUAUCCGUAAGGAGAAGCUCUUGAUCGAAGCCCCGGUAAACGGCGGCCGUAACUAUAACGGUCCUAAGGUAGCGAAAUUCCUUGUCGGGUAAGUUCCGACCUGCACGAAUGGCGUAAUGAUGGCCAGGCUGUCUCCACCCGAGACUCAGUGAAAUUGAACUCGCUGUGAAGAUGCAGUGUACCCGCGGCAAGACGGAAAGACCCCGUGAACCUUUACUAUAGCUUGACACUGAACAUUGAGCCUUGAUGUGUAGGAUAGGUGGGAGGCUUUGAAGCGUGGACGCCAGUCUGCGUGGAGCCAACCUUGAAAUACCACCCUUUAAUGUUUGAUGUUCUAACGUUGGCCCCUGACCGGGGUUGCGGACAGUGUCUGGUGGGUAGUUUGACUGGGGCGGUCUCCUCCCAAAGCGUAACGGAGGAGCACGAAGGUUAGCUAAUCCUGGUCGGACAUCAGGAGGUUAGUGCAAUGGCAUAAGCUAGCUUGACUGCGAGCGUGACGGCGCGAGCAGGUGCGAAAGCAGGUCAUAGUGAUCCGGUGGUUCUGAAUGGAAGGGCCAUCGCUCAACGGAUAAAAGGUACUCCGGGGAUAACAGGCUGAUACCGCCCAAGAGUUCAUAUCGACGGCGGUGUUUGGCACCUCGAUGUCGGCUCAUCACAUCCUGGGGCUGAAGUAGGUCCCAAGGGUAUGGCUGUUCGCCAUUUAAAGUGGUACGCGAGCUGGGUUUAGAACGUCGUGAGACAGUUCGGUCCCUAUCUGCCGUGGGCGCUGGAGAAUUGAGGGGGGCUGCUCCUAGUACGAGAGGACCGGAGUGGACGCAUCACUGGUGUUCGGGUUGUCAUGCCAAUGGCACUGCCCGGUAGCUAAAUGCGGAAGAGAUAAGUGCUGAAAGCAUCUAAGCACGAAACUUGCCCCGAGAUGAGUUCU
This 2771-nucleotide ribosomal RNA is filed under the name Klebsiella pneumoniae. RNAcentral's name for it is "bacterial LSU rRNA". It matches the Rfam family "Bacterial large subunit ribosomal RNA". Lineage: Bacteria; Pseudomonadati; Pseudomonadota; Gammaproteobacteria; Enterobacterales; Enterobacteriaceae. The record is from RNAcentral.